UUUCGCAAUGCCCGAAAGGGUGACGAAGCGACGCCGCGUGGGUGAGGAAGGCCCUCGGGUUGUAAAGCCCUGUCAGGAGUUAAGAAAUGUAAGUGUGUUAAUACCACAUUUAUUUGACGAAGGCUCCAAAGGAAGCCACGGCUAACUCUGUGCCAGCAGCCGCGGUAAUACAGAGGUGGCAAGCGUUGUUCGGAAUUAUUGGGCGUAAAGAGCACGUAGGUGGGUUUGUAAGUCAGAUGUGAAAGCCUUCUGUUCAACGGAAGAAUUGCAUCUGAAACUGCGAAUCUUGAGUGUAGGAGGGGAGAAUGGAACUUCUGGUGGAGCGGUGAAAUGCGUAGAUAUCAGAAGGAACGCCGGCGGCGAAAGCGAUUCUCUGGCCUAUUACUGACACUCAGUGUGCGAAAGCUAGGGGAGCAAACGGGAUUAGAUACCCCGGUAGUCCUAGCCGUAAACGAUGGGCACUAAGUAGAGGGGUUUU
RNAcentral lists this ribosomal RNA (478 nucleotides) under uncultured Planctomycetales bacterium. RNAcentral describes it as "bacterial SSU rRNA". It matches the Rfam family "Bacterial small subunit ribosomal RNA", at positions 364 to 832 of the family's 1533-position model. Lineage: Bacteria; Pseudomonadati; Planctomycetota; Planctomycetia; Planctomycetales. The record is from RNAcentral.